CUCCUGAGCUGCUCCAACCACAUGGCUAGGGCCACUGGGACACCCUUGUGGGGCUUGCUGGUGUGCAGUAGCUACAACUUGAAGGUGAAAGGCUUUGGGAACCUGCUUGCUCAGCUAAAUAAAAAUGUUUAAUCACCGUGGAAAGAAGCAGAUGUAGACUUCGGAGUGUUCAAGCCCUCAGUGGAUUAUAUUAAUUAUUACGAACCGGCGCAGACUUUAGCGGUGCCGUCCCGGGGCGUGUCCCUGGGGUACCCCUGUGAGGACCACCUGGACCCCCAGGCGAGCACGGCUUCUGCCUCGCUCACCGCAGGUCCCGCGGCCGGGAAAUGCUGAGGGGGGCUGCCCCGACACCCCCGGCUGCCCCAGCUCCGCCGCGUCUCACCCACCGCUACCAGAAGGUGCCGCCGUCCGCCUGCGAAUCGUUCCCAGCCCAAUUAGGUGGCAGGCAGGAGCAAGAUGAGCUUUGCUGGACAAGCAGAGGGGACCAGGAGAUGGUGGAUGUCCUGUCCCUAACCCAGAAUCUUGCUGUCUCCCCGGCCUGGGGGUCCAGGGCAGUGCUAGCG
Hirundo rustica (Barn swallow) is the source of this 563-nucleotide long non-coding RNA. RefSeq lists it as uncharacterized. The record is from RefSeq and is a predicted model, not a curated record. Lineage: Eukaryota; Metazoa; Chordata; Aves; Passeriformes; Hirundinidae. The transcript is spliced from 3 exons.